GCAGGACUGGAGGAGUCAGAGUUGGGAGGCAGAAAUGUCUUCCUAAGGCUCCGAGGUGGGCUGGAGACAGGAGAUGGUCAAGGUCAUUUUGUUGACUCUCAUGAUGUUAAGUCAAUUAUUUGUCAGCCAGGCUCGCAGGAUUUCCGUCAUGCUCCCUGCAGCCUGUGAUACAGUGCCACCCAGGAGCUGCAGGCCACCCCUCUAAUGUGAGCUCAUCUGGCUGUUGAAUUCUGCUGAGUCCCCUCGCCCUUCAUUUGCUGGCUCAAGGCAACCAUUAGCCUUCUGAGGACUGGAGCAGGUAAGGCCUCUGCUGAUGGACUCACUCAACAAGUUCAAGGCUGGAUCAAAACACAUUUACACAACAGUUGUUGGUCAAUCAGCCAUGCCACAUUUCUUCAACCUGGCCAAGCUAAAUUAGGGAAGACCCUUCAAGGACUUUAUUAACUCCAGCCCUCAAGGAGAAGCUCCAAGGGUUCUGGCUUCUCAGAUUUGCCCUCUGUUUUGUAUAUGGUCUUUUUCUUUGUGCCUGCUACAUGCGUGUU
Molecule: non-coding RNA, 542 nt
Organism: Myodes glareolus (Bank vole)
Lineage: Eukaryota; Metazoa; Chordata; Mammalia; Rodentia; Cricetidae
Source: RefSeq, a predicted model, not a curated record